This 391-nucleotide ribosomal RNA is filed under the name Chrysophyceae sp. Its description in RNAcentral is "partial small subunit ribosomal RNA". It matches the Rfam family "Eukaryotic small subunit ribosomal RNA", at positions 582 to 975 of the family's 1831-position model. The record is from RNAcentral. Lineage: Eukaryota; Chrysophyceae.
AUUCCAGCUCCAAUAGCGUAUACUAAAGUUGUUGCAGUUAAAAAGCUCGUAGUUGAAUUUCUGGUCGUGGCGAUCGGUCCGCCCCUCACGGGGUGUGCACCUGGUCUCUACGUCCAUCCUCGGGGAGAGCGCGUCUGGCAUUCAGUUGUCGGGUGUGGGAUCCUCGUCAUUUACUGUGAGCAAAAUAGAGUGUUCAAAGCAGGCUUAGGCCGUUGAAUACAUUAGCAUGGAAUAAUAAGAUAGGACCUUGGUCUAUUUUGUUGGUUUGCAUUCCAAGGUAAUGAUUAAUAGGGAUAGUUGGGGGUAUUCGUAUUCAAUUGUCAGAGGUGAAAUUCUUGGAUUUAUGGAAGACGAACUACUGCGAAAGCAUUUACCAAGGAUGUUUUCAUCA